Long non-coding RNA from Chiroxiphia lanceolata (lance-tailed manakin), 433 nucleotides. RefSeq lists it as uncharacterized. The transcript has 4 exons. NCBI's taxonomy places the organism in Eukaryota, Metazoa, Chordata, Aves, Passeriformes, Pipridae. The record is from RefSeq and is a predicted model, not a curated record.
CUCUCCCCCACUGCAGUGCCCUGGUAGGUGAAAAGCCUAAACAGAUUCAGUGGAUAUUCACCGAAUCUGAGUGAAAGUUCCAGAAAAUGCUUAGUGGGACUGGUCAGACUUGCUGAUUGUAAGAUGGAGUCUUUAGCCAUAGGACACCAAAAGGUCUUUGAGACACAGAACAAGCGAUUUUGAGCUGAAGUUGAAAGAGAGGAUUUUCUAUUCUGCCCACCACCAGCCCCAAAGCCAGGAUGACCAGCAGAUCAAGGUCAACAAGCUUGUCAAGAACACAACUUAAGCAAAUGGAGAAGAGGCUGCCAAUGACACCUGGUUACAGUUGUAGAGACCAAUCUGACUCCUCUUUUUUGGGUUUAGAGUCCUCCUUGUGCUGCUACUGUGUUGGAGAUGGUUAAGCGAGGAAGCAGAGUCCAAGAGAGGAGUUCUU